Molecule: small RNA, 564 nt
Filed under: Pan troglodytes (chimpanzee)
Lineage: Eukaryota; Metazoa; Chordata; Mammalia; Primates; Hominidae
Description: retained intron
Source: RNAcentral
GACACCAUAUCUCAGAAGACAGUAGAGAUUGCAUCUCCUGCAAAUAUGGACAGGACUAUAGCACUCACUGGAAUGACCUCCUUUUCUGCUUGCGCUGCACCAGGUGUGAUUCAGGUGAAGUGGAGGUAAGUCCCUGCACCACGACCAGAAACACAGCGUGUCAGUGCGAAGAAGGCACCUUCCGGGAAGAAGAUUCUCCUGAGAUGUGCCGGAAGUGCCGUACAAGGUGUCCCAGAGGGAUGGUCAAGGUCGGUGAUUGUACACCCUGGAGUGACAUCGAAUGUGUCCACAAAGAAUCAGGUACAAAGCACACUGGGGAAGCCCCAGCUGUGGAGGAGACGGUGACCACCAGCCCAGGGACUCCUGCCUCUCCCUGUUCUCUCUCAGGCAUCAUCAUAGGAGUCGCAGUUGCAGCCGUAGUCUUGAUUGUGGCUGUGUUUGUUUGCAAGUCUUUACUGUGGAAGAAAGUCCUUCCUUACCUGAAAGGCAUCUGCUCAGGUAGGUGCUGGCUGAGGGCGGGGGCACAGGGCACUCUCUGCCCUGCCCCCUCCCACCCUAUUCCCA